RNAcentral lists this long non-coding RNA (455 nucleotides) under Chinchilla lanigera (long-tailed chinchilla). RNAcentral describes it as "lncRNA (ENSCLAG00000024460.1)". The record is from RNAcentral. Lineage: Eukaryota; Metazoa; Chordata; Mammalia; Rodentia; Chinchillidae.
UUCACUCAAAGCCUCUGGGUCCCGGCCACUCACUGGUUCUGGCUCCAAAAUAACUCAGCAGAAACGAGUUUCCAACUAAAAAUCCCCUCGAAUGUCUCCCAGGGAAGAAAUAUAGCUCCUAUAAUUAAAGGAGGAAACGGCCAGAGGGGGAAUGCAGCCGGCAGCCAAACAAAAAAAUUCAAUUUUGAAGAAUUUUCAGCUAGAGGAACCCAAGACUUUCUGUAUCAACAAUUGCUGGAGUGGUGGUUGGUAAGGGAGGGCGUUAGAGGGGGUGUAACCAGGCAAACCUUUGCAGAGAACAGCAGCAAAGGUGUGGUGUGGUGAUCUCAGGUAGUGCUGAAGACAAGAGGAGGUUGAAGUUUUUAGGUUAUAAGAUCAAGAAAAUGUCUUUCAUCUGUAAUUUAAUUAAAAACUUGGGAGAAAUGUAUUUUCUUUUCACUUGGAAUAAAAGGAAC